UGCCUGCGGAGGGAUCAUUACAAGUGACCCCGGUCUAACCACCGGGAUGUUCAUAACCCUUUGUUGUCCGACUCUGUUGCCUCCGGGGCGACCCUGCCUUCGGGCGGGGGCUCCGGGUGGACACUUCAAACUCUUGCGUAACUUUGCAGUCUGAGUAAACUUAAUUAAUAAAUUAAAACUUUUAACAACGGAUCUCUUGGUUCUGGCAUCGAUGAAGAACGCAGCGAAAUGCGAUAAGUAAUGUGAAUUGCAGAAUUCAGUGAAUCAUCGAAUCUUUGAACGCACAUUGCGCCCCCUGGUAUUCCGGGGGGCAUGCCUGUUCGAGCGUCAUUUCACCACUCAAGCCUCGCUUGGUAUUGGGCAACGCGGUCCGCCGCGUGCCUCAAAUCGACCGGCUGGGUCUUCUGUCCCCUAAGCGUUGUGGAAACUAUUCGCUAAAGGGUGCUCGGGAGGCUACGCCGUAAAACAAACCCAUUUCUAAGGUUGACCUCGGAUCAGGUAGGGAUACCCGCUGAACUUAAGCAUAUCAAAA
This 532-nucleotide ribosomal RNA is filed under the name Cladosporium sp. RNAcentral describes it as "eukaryotic LSU rRNA". The stretch from base 177 to 330 matches the Rfam family "5.8S ribosomal RNA". Lineage: Eukaryota; Fungi; Ascomycota; Dothideomycetes; Cladosporiales; Cladosporiaceae. The record is from RNAcentral.